UUGGACGUGGUGUAUGGUGCACACCCGCUCGGAUUAGACAGCGUAUGGCCUAGAAAGCGGAAAGCCCGGGUUCGACUCUCGGCGUCCGAA
Non-coding RNA from Mycena leptocephala, 90 nucleotides. NCBI's taxonomy places the organism in Eukaryota, Fungi, Basidiomycota, Agaricomycetes, Agaricales, Mycenaceae. The record is from the annotation of a GenBank genome assembly.